UGGGGAAUCUUGCGCAAUGGGCGAAAGCCCGACGCAGCAAUGCCGCGUGUGUGAUGAAGGUCUUCGGAUCGUAAAGCACUGUCGCGAGGGACGAAUAAGGGACGGGUGAACAGUCCGUUUCGAUGACGGUACCUCGAGAGGAAGACCCGGCUAACCCUGUCCCAGCAGCCGCGGUAAUACAGAGGGUGCGAGCGUUGUUCGGAAUUAUUGGGGGUAAAGGGCGUGUAGGCGGCCUAGCAAGUAGGAUGUGAAAGCCCUCGGCUUAACCGAGGAAGUGCGUUCGAAACUACUGGGCUUGAGUACCGGAGAGGGGGGCGGAAUUCCCGGUGUAGAGGUGAAAUUCGUAGAGAUCUGGAGGAACACCAGUGGCGAAGGCGGCCACCUGGACGGAUACUGACGCUGAGACGCGAAAGCGUGGGUAGCAAACA
RNAcentral lists this ribosomal RNA (428 nucleotides) under uncultured prokaryote. RNAcentral's name for it is "bacterial SSU rRNA". It matches the Rfam family "Bacterial small subunit ribosomal RNA", at positions 355 to 774 of the family's 1533-position model. The record is from RNAcentral.